UGGGGAAUAUUGCACAAUGGGCGCAAGCCUGAUGCAGCCAUGCCGCGUGUGUGAAGAAGGCCUUCGGGUUGUAAAGCACUUUCAGCGAGGAGGAAGGUGGUGAACUUAAUACGUUCAUCAAUUGACGUUACUCGCAGAAGAAGCACCGGCUAACUCCGUGCCAGCAGCCGCGGUAAUACGGAGGGUGCAAGCGUUAAUCGGAAUUACUGGGCGUAAAGCGCACGCAGGCGGUUUGUUAAGUCAGAUGUGAAAUCCCCGGGGCUCAACCUGGGAACUGCAUUUGAAACUGGCAAGCUAGAGUCUCGUAGAGGGGGGUAGAAUUCCAGGUGUAGCGGUGAAAUGCGUAGAGAUCUGGAGGAAUACCGGUGGCGAAGGCGGCCCCCCUGGACGAAGACUGACGCUCAGGUGCGAAAGCGUGGGGCAGCAAACAGGAUUAGAUACCCUGGUAGUCCACGCUGUAAACGAUGUCGAUUUGGAGGUUGUGCCCCUUGAGGCGUGGCUUCCGGAGCUAACGCGUUAAAUCGACCGCC
RNAcentral lists this ribosomal RNA (530 nucleotides) under uncultured bacterium. Its description in RNAcentral is "partial 16S ribosomal RNA". It matches the Rfam family "Bacterial small subunit ribosomal RNA", at positions 355 to 873 of the family's 1533-position model. The record is from RNAcentral.